Long non-coding RNA from Salvia miltiorrhiza (redroot sage), 494 nucleotides. RefSeq lists it as uncharacterized. The record is from RefSeq and is a predicted model, not a curated record. Lineage: Eukaryota; Viridiplantae; Streptophyta; Magnoliopsida; Lamiales; Lamiaceae. The transcript is spliced from 3 exons.
AGAAAACUGACUCACAUUUUUGUGCUUUUUAGAUUCUGUUUAACGUGAGCUCUGUUUUCCUAUUGCAGAUUGAUUCCAUUUGCAUCUUACUCCAUUUUGUUGCUUUGAGUAAAUCCUAUUUCAGAUUGAUUCCAUUUGCAUCUUCCUCCAGUUUGAUUCCAUUUCUAUAGCGAUUUCUUAUUUUUCCCCUAUUAUCAGGAGUAUGUGGCAGAAGACCGUGAAGCUAACAAGGAUGUGUCCGAACUUGAUCCCAGCCAUGUGACCGAGCUAAGAUGCUAGGCCUCUAUUGAGUGGAUUAUGAAGCGAACUUGUGCAAUUUCCUGGUGACUAAGCAUACAAGUGCUCUAACACUCCAGGUUUGUGGUGGAUUAAAUGAGUCGUACGUUGAGCUGAAGAGGCUUGUGAAUUCACAAGAAAAGUUGUACCAUAUGGCUAGCUAGUUGCAUAUUUUAUAUGUUUAGUAUUUUUGUAAGGCAUAAUAGUAUAGAUAGAAC